UGCAGUCGAGCGGUAACACAGGGAGCUUGCUCCCGGGUGACGAGCGGCGGACGGGUGAGUAAUGUCUGGGAAACUGCCUGAUGGAGGGGGAUAACUACUGGAAACGGUAGCUAAUACCGCAUAACGUCUUCGGACCAAAGUGGGGGACCUUCGGGCCUCAUGCCAUCAGAUGUGCCCAGAUGGGAUUAGCUAGUAGGUGGGGUAACGGCUCACCUAGGCGACGAUCCCUAGCUGGUCUGAGAGGAUGACCAGCCACACUGGAACUGAGACACGGUCCAGACUCCUACGGGAGGCAGCAGUGGGGAAUAUUGCACAAUGGGCGCAAGCCUGAUGCAGCCAUGCCGCGUGUAUGAAGAAGGCCUUCGGGUUGUAAAGUACUUUCAGCGAGGAGGAAGGCAUUAAGGUUAAUAACCUUAGUGAUUGACGUUACUCGCAGAAGAAGCACCGGCUAACUCCGUGCCAGCAGCCGCGGUAAUACGGAGGGUGCAAGCGUUAAUCGGAAUUACUGGGCGUAAAGCGCACGCAGGCGGUCUGUCAAGUCGGAUGUGAAAUCCCCGGGCUCAACCUGGGAACUGCAUUCGAAACUGGCAGGCUAGAGUCUUGUAGAGGGGGGUAGAAUUCCAGGUGUAGCGGUGAAAUGCGUAGAGAUCUGGAGGAAUACCGGUGGCGAAGGCGGCCCCCUGGACAAANGACUGACGCUCAGGUGCGAAAGCGUGGGGAGCAAACAGGAUUUAGAUACCCUGGUAGUCCACGCCNGUAAAACGAUGUCGACUUGGAGGUUGUGCCCUUGAGGCGUGGCUUCCGGAGCUAACGCGUUAAAGUCGACCGCCUGGGGGGUACGGCCGCAAGGUUAAAACUCAAAAUGAAUUGACGGGGGCCCGCACAAGCGGUGGAGCAUGUGGUUUAAUUCGAUGCAACGCGAAGAACCUUACCUACUCUUGACAUCCAGAGAACUUAGCAGAGAUGCUUUGGUGCCUUCGGGAACUCUGAGACAGGUGCUGCAUGGCUGUCGUCAGCUCGUGUUGUGAAAUGUUGGGUUAAGUCCCGCAACGAGCGCAACCCUUAUCCUUUGUUGCCAGCGGUUCGGCCGGGAACUCAAAGGAGACUGCCAGUGAUAAACUGGAGGAAGGUGGGGAUGACGUCAAGUCAUCAUGGCCCUUACGAGUAGGGCUACACACGUGCUACAAUGGCGUAUACAAAGAGAAGCGACCUCGCGAGAGCAAGCGGACCUCAUAAAGUACGUCGUAGUCCGGAUUGGAGUCUGCAACUCGACUCCAUGAACUCGGAAUCGCUAGUAAUCGUAGAUCAGAAUGCUACGGUGAAUACGUUCCCGGGCCUUGUACACACCGCCCGUCACACCAUGGGAGUGGGUUGCAAAAGAAGUAGGUA
This 1389-nucleotide ribosomal RNA is filed under the name Enterobacteriaceae bacterium. Its description in RNAcentral is "bacterial SSU rRNA". It matches the Rfam family "Bacterial small subunit ribosomal RNA", at positions 56 to 1432 of the family's 1533-position model. The record is from RNAcentral. Lineage: Bacteria; Pseudomonadati; Pseudomonadota; Gammaproteobacteria; Enterobacterales; Enterobacteriaceae.